Bos taurus (domestic cattle) is the source of this 2891-nucleotide long non-coding RNA. The record is from Ensembl. Lineage: Eukaryota; Metazoa; Chordata; Mammalia; Artiodactyla; Bovidae.
GAAUUAGAGGCUGAGUUUGCUCUUAGCCAGUGAGUUCUUUCUUAGCCAGCAUAAGGAAGCUCCCCAGAGUCCCACAGAAAUGUAAAGACUUGAGCUUCCAUCGUAAUGUAAGGGGCAAGAAAUUUGUGUUCUUCUAAAUGCUACUAGCAGCACCAGCCUUGUUUUAAUGUUUUCUUGAGCUAGAAGAAAUAGCUGAUCGUUGUUAUAUGCAAGUUAUAUGCAUUUUUUUACUCUUCCUUGUGAACUUAUCUACCUGGUUAUCUACUCUGGGUCCAUACACAAGUAAAAUAAGAUUUUAGACAGAAGCCAGUAUACAUUUUGCACUAUUGAUGUGAUACUGUAGCCAGCAAGGACCUUCCUGAUCUCAGCAUAAUAAUGCUUAUUAAUAACAAAGACUGUGUAGGGAUGCUGAUGAACACUGAAGAUGAAACAGUUGACAUGCUCCACUGGAAGGAAUUUGAUUGUCUCCAUGGUGAUUUACUGCUUCCGCUGUUAAAAAUGAGAAAUUAGUAGCCCUCUGCAUAAUGUAGCUACCUGUGUGAAGUUCUGUCCUGGGCCCUGAAGCCUCAGUGGCAUCAGAUCCUCACAGUACCCUCCCCCUGUGCCCAGCAUCAUGCUGGGGGAGAUAGGAAGGGCAAGACAUACUUCCUGUCCUUGAAGAGCUCAUGACUGAGUCCAUGACAGGAAGCGUUCCUGGGAUGACAGGCUUAUAAAUGAAACCAUCUUAGAACAUGAGGUCUCUUCGUCUACUUCUAAACCCUCUUGAAGAGAGUUAUCCCAAAUUUUGCCCUAUAAUAAACAAGUAUCAUAGAGAGGUUUCUUUGUUUAUCUACCUUCAAGAAAGCCAACAAUUAAGUAUCACCACAGGCAUUAAUAUAUAUUUGAAAUGUUUACAGCAGCCUUUCAACAACAAUUGGGUGGCCCUUGUAGGCAGAACAUACUCAACUAAGUUGAGUUUGUAGGAAAUUACAGUGAAAAGAUAAGCUCUGUUCCUACCCUUGAGCGGGGCAUACAUUUAAUAAAAGACAAACCCAAAUAUGCACAUGAAUCAAAAUAUCAUGCCCUUUAAUACACUUUGAUAUAAGUCAUUGUGAUACGUGCUUAUGUGAUCACAGGACUACCCUGCUUUCUUUGCAUGUAGUGAAUUUUAGUGGCAGAACUGAUACAGAAACUGGUGGGGACUUUAUCAGUUGUUCCCAGUGUUCUUCACACAGGGUCUAGCCAGACAUGCCCAUUACACACGUGACUCUUUCUGGUCACUGCACCGGUACUGGCGCUUUCCUCCUGUGGUCUUGCCUCAGAGUUGGUGAUGCCCACUGGUGCCCAUUACCCUUUGAAAUAAUUUUGGUUCACAAUUUCCUUUUCCUUGUAAAGGAGAACAAAGCCUUUAACAUAGGCAUGGGCCCUAAAACUGUGGGCCCUUGAAGGAAACCUGUGAAGAUUUUUGAGGUUAAAAUUUACUUUGGUGUUCCCCAAAUAACCACAUUCCUCUUCAAAAAUUUAUUACGAUCAGUGUCCCCUGAGAACGCAGGGUGAACAUCCAAACCAGGGGAAGUUACUGAAAGGAGGGGAGGAAUCAAAGCAAAGGUUUUCUGCAUUUCAUAUUACAAAUCAGUUUUUGAGUUAGCUUUUUGUUAAGGUGUGUAUUUAGGAAAAAGUAUUCUCGAGUUUCAGGACAGCUGAGCUCACAGGUAAGGCAGCCUGGCGGCAGGACGGACACUAUGAGGCUGAAACAAUCCUUAAGAUGAAGCAGAUCAUGCAGGAACAUACAAAAGCCAAGGACAUGUAUAUUUUUAUAUCUGUGUGGUUUUAAAACUUUAGUACUUAGAAUUUUGGCCUUCUGCACUACUCUUUUGCUCUUGUAAACACAAUUUACAUUUAAGAAUGGAAAGGGAUGACAUUUACUUACGUGUUCACUGCCUCAUUCCUGAAGAAGCAACUGCUAGUUGUAUGCCUCUAUAAUGAUGCUCUUGUCUCUGCUGAAGAGAAAUAGUUGGACAAUAAGACUUGCAGCUUAAUCUGCUUGGAAUGCUUGUGUGUGACAAACUGUCAAUGAAGGAACAGUCUACGAGAAUUACAAAUGCUAACCUCUGUAAUGGUAUCUUUCUGGGGAAUGGAGAAAGGCAGUGAAAUGGCAGACUAAAGGAAGCUUGAAGGACUCAAGUAUAAAUAAUAUUUUAUAUAAAACAUAGCUGUUUAGGUUUCCUUAAUCUUCAAGAAUAGUCACAAAUAUCAUAAGGCAAAGUUCAUUGUUUUAGGGUUUUUUAAAAAUGUGUUGUACCUAAGGCCAUACUUACUCUUCUAUGCUAUCACUGCGAAGGAGUGAUAUGUAUGUAUUAUAUGAAAAAAAAUCCUUAAUGCACUGUUAUCUCCUAAAUAUUUAGUAAAUUAAUACUAUUUAAUUUUUUUAAAAAUUUGUCUGUGUAGACACUAAAAGUAUUACACAAAAUCUGGACUGAAGAUGUCCUUUUUAACAACAAUUUAAAGUACUUUUUAUAUAUGUUAUGUAGUAUAUCCUUUCUAAACUGCCUAGUUUGUAUUUCCCAUAAUUCCUCUAUGUGAAGUGUACCUGUUCUUGUCUCUUUUCAGCCAUUUUUCUGCACGCAUCCCUGUUUGUACGACUUUAGACAUGACUGUGUAUGCUUUGCCACGCCCUGUGAGGUGUGCAUUGAAAGCCGGCUGCCCCCAGCGGGGCCUGCUCCCCGGGUGCAGGACAAGCUUGCAGCUUUGGAGCCAAGUGUUUCUCGCUUUUGAGUUUUCCUGACAUCCUUCUUGAAAUGACUGUUAGAAAUGAAUUACAUUGCAUUUAUUUUAUAUUCUUGGUUGUAAUAAAAUUUAAUUGACUUUGUGUCACUGUGGAUUUUUUAAGUGUAGGAAAAACUCUUGUUACA